This 619-nucleotide ribosomal RNA is filed under the name Enterobacter asburiae. RNAcentral describes it as "bacterial SSU rRNA". It matches the Rfam family "Bacterial small subunit ribosomal RNA", at positions 104 to 719 of the family's 1533-position model. Lineage: Bacteria; Pseudomonadati; Pseudomonadota; Gammaproteobacteria; Enterobacterales; Enterobacteriaceae. The record is from RNAcentral.
GGGUGAGUAAUGUCUGGGAAACUGCCUGAUGGAGGGGGAUAACUACUGGAAACGGUAGCUAAUACCGCAUAACGUCGCAAGACCAAAGAGGGGGACCUUCGGGCCUCUUGCCAUCAGAUGUGCCCAGAUGGGAUUAGCUAGUAGGUGGGGUAACGGCUCACCUAGGCGACGAUCCCUAGCUGGUCUGAGAGGAUGACCAGCCACACUGGAACUGAGACACGGUCCAGACUCCUACGGGAGGCAGCAGUGGGGAAUAUUGCACAAUGGGCGCAAGCCUGAUGCAGCCAUGCCGCGUGUAUGAAGAAGGCCUUCGGGUUGUAAAGUACUUUCAGCGGGGAGGAAGGUGUUGAGGUUAAUAACCUCAGCAAUUGACGUUACCCGCAGAAGAAGCACCGGCUAACUCCGUGCCAGCAGCCGCGGUAAUACGGAGGGUGCAAGCGUUAAUCGGAAUUACUGGGCGUAAAGCGCACGCAGGCGGUCUGUCAAGUCGGAUGUGAAAUCCCCGGGCUCAACCUGGGAACUGCAUUCGAAACUGGCAGGCUAGAGUCUUGUAGAGGGGGGUAGAAUUCCAGGUGUAGCGGUGAAAUGCGUAGAGAUCUGGAGGAAUACCGGUGGCGAA